This 440-nucleotide ribosomal RNA is filed under the name uncultured bacterium. RNAcentral describes it as "partial 16S ribosomal RNA". It matches the Rfam family "Bacterial small subunit ribosomal RNA", at positions 338 to 795 of the family's 1533-position model. The record is from RNAcentral.
CCUACGGGGGGCAGCAGUGGGGAAUAUUGCACAAUGGGGGAAACCCUGAUGCAGCAACGCCGCGUGAGUGAAGAAGUAUCUCGGCAUGUAAAGCUCUAUCAGCAGGGAAGAAGAAAGACGGUACCUGACUAAGAAGCCCGGCUAACUACGUGCCAGCAGCCGCGGUAAUACGUAGGGGGCAAGCGUUAUCCGGAUUUACUGGGUGUAAAGGGAGCGUAGACGGCUGUGCAAGUCUGAAGUGAAAGCCCGUGGCGCAACCGCGGAACUGCUCUGGAAACUGUAUGGCUUGAGUGCUGGAGAGGCAGGCGGAAUUCCUAGUGUAGCGGUGAAAUGCGUAGAUAUUAGGAGGAACACCAGUGGCGAAGGCGGCCUGCUGGACAGAAACUGACGUUGAGGCUCGAAAGCGUGGGGAGCAAACAGGAUUAGAUACCCGUGUAGUC